GCGGGUGUGGUGGGCGGCCACAGCUGCCCUCAAUUCCAACUGAGUGCGGUCAAUUGAACUUUGAAGCAGUCAAAUCGGGUUCGACUCCCGGCACCCGCG
Non-coding RNA from Mycena galopus ATCC 62051, 99 nucleotides. The record is from the annotation of a GenBank genome assembly. Lineage: Eukaryota; Fungi; Basidiomycota; Agaricomycetes; Agaricales; Mycenaceae.